RNAcentral lists this ribosomal RNA (465 nucleotides) under uncultured Klebsiella sp. RNAcentral's name for it is "bacterial SSU rRNA". It matches the Rfam family "Bacterial small subunit ribosomal RNA", at positions 338 to 795 of the family's 1533-position model. The record is from RNAcentral. Lineage: Bacteria; Pseudomonadati; Pseudomonadota; Gammaproteobacteria; Enterobacterales; Enterobacteriaceae.
CCUACGGGUGGCUGCAGUGGGGAAUAUUGCACAAUGGGCGCAAGCCUGAUGCAGCCAUGCCGCGUGUGUGAAGAAGGCCUUCGGGUUGUAAAGCACUUUCAGCGGGGAGGAAGGCGGUGAGGUUAAUAACCUCAUCGAUUGACGUUACCCGCAGAAGAAGCACCGGCUAACUCCGUGCCAGCAGCCGCGGUAAUACGGAGGGUGCAAGCGUUAAUCGGAAUUACUGGGCGUAAAGCGCACGCAGGCGGUCUGUCAAGUCGGAUGUGAAAUCCCCGGGCUCAACCUGGGAACUGCAUUCGAAACUGGCAGGCUAGAGUCUUGUAGAGGGGGGUAGAAUUCCAGGUGUAGCGGUGAAAUGCGUAGAGAUCUGGAGGAAUACCGGUGGCGAAGGCGGCCCCCUGGACAAAGACUGACGCUCAGGUGCGAAAGCGUGGGGAGCAGACAGGAUUAGAUACCCCUGUAGUC